UACGUAGGGGGCUAGCGUUGCUCGGAAUCACUGGGCGUAAAGCGCACGUAGGCGGCUUCUUAAGUCGGGGGUGAAAUCCUGGAGCUCAACUCCAGAACUGCCUUCGAUACUGAGGAGCUUGAGUCCGGGAGAGGUGAGUGGAACUGCGAGUGUAGAGGUGAAAUUCGUAGAUAUUCGCAAGAACACCAGUGGCGAAGGCGGCUCACUGGCCCGGUACUGACGCUGAGGUGCGAAAGCGUGGGGAGCAAACAGG
This 253-nucleotide ribosomal RNA is filed under the name uncultured bacterium. Its description in RNAcentral is "partial 16S ribosomal RNA". It matches the Rfam family "Bacterial small subunit ribosomal RNA", at positions 524 to 776 of the family's 1533-position model. The record is from RNAcentral.